UACGGAGGGUGCAAGCGUUAUCCGGAUUCACUGGGUUUAAAGGGUGCGUAGGUGGGUUGGUAAGUCAGUGGUGAAAUCUCCGUGCUUAACAUGGAAACUGCCAUUGAUACUACUGAUCUUGAAUUUUCAGGAGGUAAGCGGAAUAUGUCAUGUAGCGGUGAAAUGCUUAGAUAUGACAUAGAACACCAAUUGCGAAGGCAGCUUACUACAGGAAUAUUGACUCUGAGGCACGAAAGCGUGGGGAUCAAACAGG
RNAcentral lists this ribosomal RNA (253 nucleotides) under uncultured bacterium. RNAcentral describes it as "partial 16S ribosomal RNA". It matches the Rfam family "Bacterial small subunit ribosomal RNA", at positions 524 to 776 of the family's 1533-position model. The record is from RNAcentral.